CCCUUUGGCCUGGAAUAACACGAGGAAACUUGCGCUAAUACCGGAUAAGUCUUUACGGAGAAAGCUUUAUGCACCAUUGGAUGAGCCCGCACUUGAUUAGUUUGUUGGCAGGGUAAUGGCCUACCAAGACUAUGAUCAAUAGCUGAUUUGAGAGGAUGAUCAGCCACAUUGGGACUGAGACACGGCCCAAACUCCUACGGGAGGCAGCAGUGGGGAAUCUUGCACAAUGGAGGAAACUCUGAUGCAGCGAUGCCGCGUGAGUGAAGAAGGCCUUUGGGUUGUAAAGCUCUUUCGUCGGGGAAGAAAAUGACUGUACCCGAAUAAGAAGGUCCGGCUAACUUCGUGCCAGCAGCCGCGGUAAUACGAAGGGACCUAGCGUAGUUCGGAAUUACUGGGCUUAAAGAGUUCGUAGGUGGUUGAAAAAGUUGGUGGUGAAAUCCCAGAGCUUAACUCUGGAACUGCCAUCAAAACUUUUCAGCUAGAGUAUGAUAGAGGAAAGCAGAAUUUCUAGUG
RNAcentral lists this ribosomal RNA (513 nucleotides) under uncultured bacterium. Its description in RNAcentral is "bacterial SSU rRNA". It matches the Rfam family "Bacterial small subunit ribosomal RNA", at positions 129 to 675 of the family's 1533-position model. The record is from RNAcentral.